RNAcentral lists this ribosomal RNA (467 nucleotides) under uncultured bacterium. RNAcentral describes it as "partial 16S ribosomal RNA". It matches the Rfam family "Bacterial small subunit ribosomal RNA", at positions 29 to 507 of the family's 1533-position model. The record is from RNAcentral.
ACGAACGCUGGCGGCGUGCUUAACCCAUGCAAGUCGAACGGAAAGGCCCUGCUUUUGUGGGGUGCUCGAGUGGCGAACGGGUGAGUAACACGUGAGUAACCUGCCCUUGACUUUGGGAUAACUUCAGGAAACUGGGGCUAAUACCGGAUAGGAGCUCCUGCUGCACGGUGGGGGUUGGAAAGUUUCGGCGGUUGGGGAUGGACUCGCGGCUUAUCAGCUUGUUGGUGGGGUAGUGGCUUACCAAGGCUUUGACGGGUAGCCGGCCUGAGAGGGUGACCGGCCACAUUGGGACUGAGAUACGGCCCAGACUCCUACGGGAGGCAGCAGUGGGGAAUAUUGCACAAUGGGCGGAAGCCUGAUGCAGCAACGCCGCGUGCGGGAUGACGGCCUUCGGGUUGUAAACCGCUUUCGCCUGUGACGAAGCGUGAGUGACGGUAAUGGGUAAAGAAGCACCGGCUAACUACGUG